Molecule: long non-coding RNA, 3285 nt
Organism: Strigops habroptila (Kakapo)
Lineage: Eukaryota; Metazoa; Chordata; Aves; Psittaciformes; Psittacidae
Source: Ensembl
GGACACUGUGUUCACUUACCAUUGAGAAGGCUAUGCCUGAAGAUGCAGGCGAAUACAAAUGCAUAGCUGAGAAUGCAGCAGGAAAAGCUGAAUGUGCUUGCAAAGUGCUGGUAGAAGAUGCCUCAUCCACAAAGACCUCAAAGCCUACUGAGAAGAAGACUAAGAAGCCUAAGACCACACUUCCCCCUGUGCUGCCAACAGAGACAUGGAACAUUUUCACCUCCUUUCAGCAGGACCCAGUGCAGUUUUGUACUGACUGAUGAGCACAGGUAAUAAUGACAUUUCUGGAACUGUUGACUUACAUAGAGCUAUGCCCUGGACUACGGCUAUUUCUGAUUUGCUGGGUGAAUAAUAUAACUUUCUCCCCAGCCAAUCAUUUUGGGGUGUGGAAGGGUCACACCAACGUGCUCCACCCCUGCACUUGAGCUACAAAUGCUGUGAAUAAUAGCCAUUAAGAACAAUGAUUUUGCUCUUGAACAUCAAUAGAAAAGCAUGUUUUAAAGCCAUUUAAAGCUCCACUGGAUAUCAUUUUGAAUAGUUUUUUCUAUGCAGACAAAUGCAUACAUUUUCUCUGAUCCUCCCAGUAGUGUUAGCAAUCCCAGGAGAAACUGCGAGUUGGGAACUAAGUCUAAACAUACAGAUAUAUGACCUGAUCCACAUCCUGCUAAAAUCACUGCUUGCUGUUGAUUUUAGUGGAAAUUGGAAGCUAGAAACUCUGGCUUCAGAAAUGAUUGGGGAAAAAAAUCAAAAUAAUGGUGAAUGGUUUUCUUAAGGUUGCCUCAUUGCAUAUUAUAUCAGUGUUUAAAAUUCUUUAACUUCUCGUUAGAUUUGUUUUCAAAAUACCUUUAAAACCUCUUUCCUGUUUGCACUGAAAACACCAAGGUAACCAGGGCGAAUGUUCAGAAUCUGGGCUUUGGAAUAGUUUUUUGAAAACUUUGGGAAAUACAUAUUUAAUUUUAAAAGGAUUUGACUGCAGAGAUUCCACAGGUGGUUUUUAACAUCUCAGCCUCAGUCUCUGAGGACUGUAGGUAUUCAUCUCCCUGGAAUGAGUGUUAUAUUUGUACGUUUGUCAGGGGCAAAAUAUAAAAAACUGAUCCAGCCGACUUCACAGUUUCAAUUUAAACUAAAAUCCCUUUCAGAAGUAGAGAUCUUUAAGUUCCUUACCUGAAAGGGAACAGGCUUAACAAGUCACAAAUUUGUGCAUCUUACUGUAUUUCUUUCAAAAAGAAGGUUAAUAAAGAAUAACUAUGAAUUAAGGUGUCUCAGUCUAAUAAGGAGAUUAAUUUUUAGUCUGAUCUCUUCCAGUCUUUGUUGCCACAUUAACUAACCAACAGUCUUAAUGGCAAGUUGAGUGUGAGGAGUGAUACUGAAGAAAUAGAUGACAAAAAUUUCUAUUAUUCCCACUGAAUAAAUUCUGAAUUUUGUAUAGUGAAUUCAGUUACAACAGAAGCUAUAUACUCUGUCAUUUUUAGAAAUACUUCUCAGAGGAAAAAAAUAUCCAUGUUUUUCAUUUUGUGUAAGAAAGUGCAAGCCAAAUUUCAUGGUUAGCAGCUAUGUCCACCUUGUCUCCCUUCAAAUAAAUUAUAAGUGAUCCUUGGGUUUUGCCCUAGUAGAAGCCUUUGGGAAAGUAAUUAACUUUUAGUUCCUGAAAGCAAAGAUCAAUAGAUUUCUCCUUGUGAAAGAGAAUGAAUGUUGUCACUAUGUUAAUCUAUAGAAUUUGUCUCACUGAGAGAAUAGUUGCUGACCCAGGUCAUUUGACUGCUCAUUUUUACAUUAUUUUAUUACUGGAAGCUUGGGGUUUUUAAGCUGCAGAAAUCCAACAGUAUUCUAAACCAGACCCUGGUUUAGAAUAAGCAGUUAUUCUCAGAAAAACAUCUAUGAAGGCAGCUUUGUAGCAUUCAAUGACUUAAUGAUAUCCCUGAAUGGAUGUGUGCAGUGUCUACAUGCAGAAAGAUUGCUCCCAUGGUAACAAAUUAGGAAAAUUAUGAUAUUUGGUUUUGCUUACAAUUAAUAUUGUGUCACCAGAAUUUAGUAAUAGUUACAGCUCUGUAAUGAUAAAUAGAAUAAAUAAUAAAGUUUCUAAGAACAAGAAACAUAUCCACCUUUGAAUCUGAUUGAAAUCAAUCCUAAGGAAGCAUGGAGGAAGGGCACCUCCUUUUUAAAUGUUGGAAUUGGUUCAUUCUUCACUGACUGUAUUGACUUAGGCUUUGUCACUUUUUUUUUUUGCUAGGUGGAUGUGAAAUGAUACUGAGUUAUAGUAAUAAAGUGUUAUGUUUCUUCUGCACAGAUAUAAAAAAUUAGCAGAGUCAGUGGAAAAUUGCAACCUUUCAUUAUUUAGCAUACUGCAUACUCCAUGCUAUGCCAGAACAAUCAGUGGAUAAUACAAGGGUCUUCUAGUUUGACGUAGCCCUGCAGCAGAAGUUCUAAGCCAAAAAUUCUCACCACUUGAACGUUUCUCUAGAGAGCUUCGAAAGCAUCUGCUGCAAAGGAAUUUGGGCACCCAAUACCCAUUGAUAUUAGAAGUUACUUCGAAUUACGCUUAAAGGGAAUUGCUUAUUUCAAUUACCAAGGCUGCCUGCAAAAUCUUCAGUGCCUAUUAAAGAAAUCUUUCUGUUCCAACAGACUGUGGAAAAAUCAAAGUGCUGCUUGAGAUUUUUAAGACUAAGCAAUGAUCUGAAGGUUUAUAAAUUAAUAUUCUCUUUUUCAAAAAAUAUGUUACUACUCCACACUCUCUAAUAUUUUGUUCUCCUUAAUGUGCCUUUAGCUGAGGACCAAAAGAGCUUAUUCCUAGCUGGAGUAAUUAGCCCAAGAUCAGGCACUUUCCUUUGCAGAUCUAGCACCCAACUUUCUUGAUCCUCAGCCUCAUUAUUAGUUUGUAUGCAACAUCCCAAAUACUAUAAUGUUUUUUUUUAACUGACAUCCCAAAAAUGUACGUAAAACAUGAGUUUUCCAAAAGGUUUUUUUUUUUUUUCUCAAAGUUUUUUUUUCAAGAUUUGCUGAGGAAAAAGGCAUAUUACAAGAAUUAGAUGCUAUUUUUUAAACUUCACCACAGCUGAGCUGUGCAACAUAACUUUACUAUAGUAGGAAGAAACUGUAUCCUCUUCAUUGCUACUGAGAAAAGAAUUUGCUUUAAGGCUUUAGAAAAUAACCCUCCUAAAUCUAAGCAUUGUUUUAAAGGGUUUGGAAAGAAAUGCCACUGCUUUUUGUAGGGCUAGUUCACUGCACUACUUCCAGUAAAUAUUAAGAAAUAGCAACUAUCACCUGUCAUAAUAAGUGGUACGAAAA